UGGGGAAUAUUGGACAAUGGGCGAAAGCCUGAUCCAGCCAUGCCGCGUGUGUGAAGAAGGUCUUCGGAUUGUAAAGCACUUUAAGUUGGGAGGAAGGGCAGUAACCUAAUACGUUGCUGUCUUGACGUUACCGACAGAAUAAGCACCGGCUAACUCUGUGCCAGCAGCCGCGGUAAUACAGAGGGUGCAAGCGUUAAUCGGAAUUACUGGGCGUAAAGCGCGCGUAGGUGGUUUGUUAAGUUGGAUGUGAAAUCCCCGGGCUCAACCUGGGAACUGCAUUCAAAACUGACAAGCUAGAGUAUGGUAGAGGGUGGUGGAAUUUCCUGUGUAGCGGUGAAAUGCGUAGAUAUAGGAAGGAACACCAGUGGCGAAGGCGACCACCUGGACUGAUACUGACACUGAGGUGCGAAAGCGUGGGGAGCAAACAGGAUUAGAUACCCCAGUAGUCCCUGAGCGGGCUGGCAAGGCGCAU
This 472-nucleotide ribosomal RNA is filed under the name uncultured bacterium. RNAcentral describes it as "bacterial SSU rRNA". It matches the Rfam family "Bacterial small subunit ribosomal RNA", at positions 355 to 825 of the family's 1533-position model. The record is from RNAcentral.